Molecule: ribosomal RNA, 1542 nt
Filed under: Muribaculaceae bacterium
Lineage: Bacteria; Pseudomonadati; Bacteroidota; Bacteroidia; Bacteroidales; Muribaculaceae
Description: 16S ribosomal RNA
Rfam family: Bacterial small subunit ribosomal RNA
Source: RNAcentral
AAACAACGAAGAGUUUGAUCCUGGCUCAGGAUGAACGCUAGCGACAGGCCUAACACAUGCAAGUCGAGGGGCAUCGGGGCGAGGAGCAAUCCUUGCCGCCGGCGACCGGCGCACGGGUGAGUAACGCGUAUGCGACCUGCCCGUUGCAGGGGGAUAAUCGGGAGAAAUCCCGUCUAAUACCGCGUAACGCCGCGGGGCUGCAUGGCCCUGCGGCCAAAGGGAGCGAUUCCGGCAACGGAUGGGCAUGCGUGACAUUAGCUAGUUGGCGGGGCAACGGCCCACCAAGGCGACGAUGUCUAGGGGUUCUGAGAGGAAGGUCCCCCACACUGGUACUGAGACACGGACCAGACUCCUACGGGAGGCAGCAGUGAGGAAUAUUGGUCAAUGGGCGCGAGCCUGAACCAGCCAAGUCGCGUGAGGGAUGACGGCCCUACGGGUUGUAAACCUCUUUUGUCGGGGAGCAAAUUCCGCCACGUGUGGCGGAGUCGAGAGUACCCGAAGAAAAAGCAUCGGCUAACUCCGUGCCAGCAGCCGCGGUAAUACGGAGGAUGCGAGCGUUAUCCGGAUUUAUUGGGUUUAAAGGGUGCGUAGGCGGACUGUCAAGUCAGCGGUAAAAUACGGGGGCUCAACCUCCGCCCGCCGUUGAAACUGACGGUCUUGAGUGGGCGAGAAGUAUGCGGAAUGCGUGGUGUAGCGGUGAAAUGCAUAGAUAUCACGCAGAACUCCGAUUGCGAAGGCAGCAUACCGGCGCCCGACUGACGCUGAAGCACGAAAGCGUGGGUAUCGAACAGGAUUAGAUACCCUGGUAGUCCACGCAGUAAACGAUGAAUACUAGCUGUCCGGGGCGAAUGAGCCCUGGGUGGCACAGCGAAAGCGUUAAGUAUUCCACCUGGGGAGUACGCCGGCAACGGUGAAACUCAAAGGAAUUGACGGGGGCCCGCACAAGCGGAGGAACAUGUGGUUUAAUUCGAUGAUACGCGAGGAACCUUACCCGGGCUCAAACGACACAGGAACGUACCUGAAAGGGUUCGGCUCUACGGAGCCUGUGUCGAGGUGCUGCAUGGUUGUCGUCAGCUCGUGCCGUGAGGUGUCGGCUUAAGUGCCAUAACGAGCGCAACCCCCAUCGACAGUUGCUAACAGGUCAGGCUGAGGACUCUGUCGAGACUGCCGGCGCAAGCUGCGAGGAAGGCGGGGAUGACGUCAAAUCAGCACGGCCCUUACGUCCGGGGCGACACACGUGUUACAAUGGCAGGUACAGCGGGAAGCCACCUGGCGACAGGGAGCGGAACCCGAAAGCCUGUCUCAGUUCGGAUUGGAGUCUGCAACCCGACUCCAUGAAGCUGGAUUCGCUAGUAAUCGCGCAUCAGCCACGGCGCGGUGAAUACGUUCCCGGGCCUUGUACACACCGCCCGUCAAGCCAUGGAAGCCGGGGGUGCCUGAAGUGCGCUGCCGCGAGGAGCGCCCUAGGGUAAAACCGGUGACUGGGGCUAAGUCGUAACAAGGUAGCCGUACCGGAAGGUGCGGCUGGAACACCUCCUUUCU